CAGGGGUUUGAGCUUGCUAUGGCGUGUGGCCUCUGAAGAGAACACACAUCCCACCCAACAGAGAAAGAUACACAGGCUGCCCUUGGAGGUGUUUACCAGAGACAUGGCAGGUUGACACCGUGGACUCAGAAGAACACUGCAUCCCUCCUCUCAGUACUCAUGGCCGAGAACAGUCCAUCUGGACACACCUUAGGUUCCUGUUUGUUUGGCACAUAAUAACUUUCAUUUGGAUCAAAAUCCAGGAGAAAAGAAAAUAUCUGCAUCAAAAUAUCUAACAGAGGGCUGGUGAGAGGGCUCAGUGGGUAAAGGUACUUACUAACAACGUAAGCUCCAUCCAUGGGGCCCUCGUGGCAGAGGGAGAGAACUGAUCCUACAAGUUGUCCUCUGUUCUUUUUUUUUUUUUUUUUUUUUUUUUUUGGUUUUUCGAGACAGGGUUUCUCUGUGGCUUUGGAGGCUGUCCUGGAACUAGCUCUUGUAGACCAGGCUGGUCUCAAACUCACAGAGAUCCUCCUGCCUCUGCCUCCUGAGUGCUGGGACUAAAGGUGUGCGCCACCAAUGCCCGGCUUGUCCUCCAUUCUAAUUGCCUAUAUGCUUGCUGUAGCACCUGCACACAUUAACAAAAGUAAAUCAUAUUUUAAAUAAAUCAGCAUUUUUUAAAGAUAGAGGAUGAUGUUAUAAAUAAAAAGACCUCUAUCUGAGUGUCGUGGCACAUGCCUUUAAUCUUAACACUAGGGAGGCAGAGGCAGGCAUAUCUCUGACCCAAGGCCAGGCUGCUCUACAUAGAGAGUUCCAUAGAGAGAUACUGUGCCUUAAUUAGAAUUUCUAUUGCUGUGAUGAAACACUGUGACCUAAAGCAACUUUGGGAGGAAAAGGUUUGUUUUACUUACACUUCCACAUCACUAUCAUUAAAGGAAGUCAGGACGGGAGCUCAAAAAGAGGCAGGAGCUGAUGCAGAGGCCAUAGAGGGGAGCUGCUUACUGGCUUGCUCCUCAUGGCCUGCUCAGACUGCUUUUUUAUAGAGCCCAGGACUACCAGCACGAAGGUGGCACCACCAGCCAUGGGCUGGGCCCUCCCCCAUCAGUCACUGACACAGGCUUACUUGCCACUGUGUCUGUGGAGGCAUUUUCUCAAUUGAUGCUUCCUCUUCUCAGAUGCCUUUAGCUUAUAGCAAAUAAAACUAGCCAGCACACCUGCAAUGCUCCCUGAAAACCCUCUAAGUUCAUUCUUCCCUGUGGUGGGUUCUGUUGUGUUCUGUUGUCUUUUGUCUCUAGACAGUGCCUCACUGUGUAACUGGCUAACCUGAGACUCACUAUGUAGAGGCUGGCCUCUAACUCACAGAGAUCCAACUGCCUCUGCGUCCAAAGCACUGGGAAAAUAAAAGUAUGCCAUAGCUAAUGAUAUCAUAAAGGGAUGUUUUUAAAAGAAGUAUUGCUAGACAGAUGAACAGUGACCCACUGAACAGUUUUCAGUGCAGCCCAGGAGAGUGGUGUCUUAGCUCCAGUGGCCUCCUAAACAAAAGCUUCCUCUUUUGCAAUGGGUAAGAGAAAUAGAACAAAGGAGCUCUCAGGUUUGGACACAUAUUUCAAACUAGAUUGAUAGGAGGGGAAGAGCCAAAAAGGCCAGAGGUCCCUUAAUUCCAGGUAAAGAAGUCUCCAGUAAGUUCCUCUCCUCACCAACCAAUGCUGUCAGAGAUACACAGGAAGCCUUAGGUUCAUUUCUGUUGGUGUUGGCAUGUAUUUAUAGCCCCAGCACUGGAGAGGUGAAAACAGUCCCAGGCCUGUCUCCAAAACCUUCAGUGAGCAGCCCCUAAAGAGUAACUCUCAAGGUUGUCCUCUGGUCUCCAUGUGAACCUGCACACAUACACAUACAUACAUACACACACAUAUAUUUAUGUAUACAUAUAUAUACAUAAACACAUAUAUGUAUAUACAUACACACAUGCAUACAUACAUACAUACAUACAUACAUACAUACAUACAUACAUACACACAUACACACAUAAAACAAUCCUAUUACCAUUCAAAUUCUACCCUAGUGGAAACCUCACCUCUUCCCUGGAGUGUCAGUCCCAUUUCCCCAGUCUUACAGUUCUCUUGCCCUGAACACUGCCACUGAGAUCCUCUAGGGUGGCUCAACCCUCAGUCAGGCUAUUCGAAUCUCACUUUAAAUUCAGAUUCACGUAGGGCAUCUAAAGAAUGACCUCAAAAAGCAAGAGCCAGGCAGUGGGAAGUGGAGGAAUUGUGUAUGGCUGAAGAGGUCACUGCUGUGGACAGUGAUCUCAGCCCUGCUGGAACCCUGCCUUAGACGGGAAGCUGCACCCUCAUCCACAGGCCCCAUGCCCCGAAGCCCAUGAUUUCUCCUGUGCUUUUGGACAGAGUGUAUGUUCAAGUCCUGGCAGCUCUUCAGUUUGAGGAGAGCUUGGAAGCUGUGGGCUUCUUUGGAGCAUCCAUAGAAGUCUCCCACUGUGUUUCUGUGGGAGGGAUAAGCCACCUGCUGCACACACACACACACACACACACACACACACACUCACACACACACACCACAUAC
Molecule: long non-coding RNA, 2550 nt
Filed under: Cricetulus griseus (Chinese hamster)
Lineage: Eukaryota; Metazoa; Chordata; Mammalia; Rodentia; Cricetidae
Description: lncRNA (ENSCGRG00015042788.1)
Source: RNAcentral